GAUGAAUGCUGGCGGCGUGCUUAACACAUGCAAGUCGAGCGAUGAAGUUUCCUUCGGGAAACGGAUUAGCGGCGGACGGGUGAGUAACACGUGGGUAACCUGCCUCAUAGAGUGGAAUAGCCUUCCGAAAGGAAGAUUAAUACCGCAUAACGUUGAAAGAUGGCAUCAUCAUUCAACCAAAGGAGCAAUCCGCUAUGAGAUGGACCCGCGGCGCAUUAGCUAGUUGGUGGGGUAACGGCCUACCAAGGCGACGAGGCGUAGCCGACCUGAGAGGGUGAUCGGCCACAUUGGGACGGGGACACGGCCCAGACUCCUACGGGAGGCAGCAGUGGGGAAUAUUGCACAAUGGGGGAAACCCUGAUGCAGCAACGCCGGGUGAGUGAUGAAGGUUUUCGGAUCGUAAAGCUCUGUCUUUGGGGAAGAUAAUGACGGUACUCAAGGAGGAAGCCACGGCUAACUACGUGCCAGCCGCCGCCGUAA
This 480-nucleotide ribosomal RNA is filed under the name uncultured bacterium. RNAcentral describes it as "partial 16S ribosomal RNA". It matches the Rfam family "Bacterial small subunit ribosomal RNA", at positions 28 to 523 of the family's 1533-position model. The record is from RNAcentral.